Molecule: long non-coding RNA, 503 nt
Organism: Pygoscelis adeliae (Adelie penguin)
Lineage: Eukaryota; Metazoa; Chordata; Aves; Sphenisciformes; Spheniscidae
Exons: 4
Source: RefSeq, a predicted model, not a curated record
AACCUCAUCUUUAAAAAAGAACAUUUCGCCUGCGUAUCCUACUCAGAACGAAAGCUGCCCGAUCACUCAUGAAGGCUUCAAUACUUACCGGUGUUUUGCAGGGGAAUUCGUCAUAGGAAGGAGGACUGUGUUUCCAGGAACUAGCCGUUCUGCAUAACCCCGUGAUUUGCAUUCUGUGCCGCCAUCAGCAAACACCAAGAGCUGCAGGGGCCCGCUAAUACCUUGGAGCAACUUUGAAGAGCGAUGGAGCAUUUCCGAGGCGGUAUCCAAAGGAGGGCCUGGUCACUGAAAGGAGGAAGUCUGAACACUCACGGGGUCUCGCCACUGAGUCACCCGCUGUUUGACUGAGGUGGCAAGCCAGUGCUCGCCGCUGCCGUCCACACCCGGCCGAGCUUUUAUACUGGUUUCCAGUCCCCAUUACCACUUUCAGGAGAAGUGAAAGGAGAAAAAAACCCAACCCAUCCACCACGCCAUGAAUUCCCCCCUUCCCAGCGCUGUGUUAA